GAUGAAGACGUAGCGAAAUGCGAUACUUGGUGUGAAUUGCAGAAUCCCGUGAACCAUCGAGUCUUUGAACGCAAGUUGCGCCCGAAGCCAUUAGGCCGAGGGCACGCCUGCCUGGGCGUCACACGUCGUUGCCCCCCCAUCUACUCCUUCGGGAUUGCGGGGGGCGGAUGAUGGCCUCCCGUGCGCCUCGCCGCGCGGUUGGCAUAAAUGCCAAGUCCUCGGCGACGCACGCCACGACAAUCGGUGGUUGCGAAACCUCGGUUGCCCGUCGUGUGCGGUCGUCGCGCAUCGAGGGCUCGAAAAAAUUGCCGGGUUCCGGCUCGGCUUUCAACGCGACCCCAGGUCAGGCGGGGUUACCCGCUGAAUUUAAGCAUAUCAAUAAGCGGAGGA
This 390-nucleotide unclassified non-coding RNA is filed under the name soil metagenome. RNAcentral's name for it is "partial contains 5.8S ribosomal RNA, internal transcribed spacer 2, and large subunit ribosomal RNA". The stretch from base 1 to 121 matches the Rfam family "5.8S ribosomal RNA", at positions 35 to 154 of the family's 154-position model. The record is from RNAcentral.